GCUAACGCGUUAAGUCGACCGCCUGGGGAGUACGGCCGCAAGGUUAAAACUCAAAUGAAUUGACGGGGGCCCGCACAAGCGGUGGAGCAUGUGGUUUAAUUCGAUGCAACGCGAAGAACCUUACCUGGUCUUGACAUCCACGGAAGUUUUCAGAGAUGAGAAUGUGCCUUCGGGAACCGUGAGACAGGUGCUGCAUGGCUGUCGUCAGCUCGUGUUGUGAAAUGUUGGGUUAAGUCCCGCAACGAGCGCAACCCUUAUCCUUUGUUGCCAGCGGUCCGGCCGGGAACUCAAAGGAGACUGCCAGUGAUAAACUGGAGGAAGGUGGGGAUGACGUCAAGUCAUCAUGGCCCUUACGACCAGGGCUACACACGUGCUACAAUGGCGCAUACAAAGAGAAGCGACCUCGCGAGAGCAAGCGGACCUCAUAAAGUGCGUCGUAGUCCGGAUUGGAGUCUGCAACUCGACUCCAUGAAGUCGGAAUCGCUAGUAAUCGUGGAUCAGAAUGCCACGGUGAAUACGUUCCCGGGCCUUGUACUCACCGCCCGUC
Molecule: ribosomal RNA, 547 nt
Filed under: uncultured bacterium
Lineage: Bacteria
Description: bacterial SSU rRNA
Rfam family: Bacterial small subunit ribosomal RNA
Source: RNAcentral